RNAcentral lists this ribosomal RNA (836 nucleotides) under Kocuria flava. RNAcentral's name for it is "bacterial SSU rRNA". It matches the Rfam family "Bacterial small subunit ribosomal RNA", at positions 1 to 1365 of the family's 1533-position model. Lineage: Bacteria; Bacillati; Actinomycetota; Actinomycetes; Micrococcales; Micrococcaceae. The record is from RNAcentral.
UAGAAUUUAAAUCUGGGAAUUAUUGGGCGUAAGAGCUCGUAGGCGGUUUGUCGCGUCUGCUGUGAAAGCCCGGGGCUCAACCCCGGGUCUGCAGUGGGUACGGGCAGACUAGAGUGCAGUAGGGGAGACUGGAAUUCCUGGUGUAGCGGUGAAAUGCGCAGAUAUCAGGAGGAACACCGAUGGCGAAGGCAGGUCUCUGGGCUGUUACUGACGCUGAGGAGCGAAAGCAUGGGGAGCGAACAGGAUUAGAUACCCUGGUAGUCCAUGCCGUAAACGUUGGGCACUAGGUGUGGGGGACAUUCCACGUUCUCCGCGCCGUAGCUAACGCAUUAAGUGCCCCGCCUGGGGAGUACGGCCGCAAGGCUAAAACUCAAAGGAAUUGACGGGGGCCCGCACAAGCGGCGGAGCAUGCGGAUUAAUUCGAUGCAACGCGAAGAACCUUACCAAGGCUUGACAUCCACCGGACCGCACUGGAGACAGUGCUUCCCUUCGGGGCUGGUGGACAGGUGGUGCAUGGUUGUCGUCAGCUCGUGUCGUGAGAUGUUGGGUUAAGUCCCGCAACGAGCGCAACCCUCGUUCUAUGUUGCCAGCACGUGAUGGUGGGGACUCAUAGGAGACUGCCGGGGUCAACUCGGAGGAAGGUGGGGAUGACGUCAAUCAUCAUGCCCCUUAUGUCUUGGGCUUCACGCAUGCUACAAUGGCCGGUACAAAAGGGUUGCGAUACUGUGAGGUGGAGCUAAUCCCAAAAAAGCCGUCUCAGUUCGGAUUGAGGUCUGCAACUCGACCUCAUGAAGUCCGGAGUCGCUAGUAAUCGCAAAUCAGCAACGCUGCGGUGA